UAUGCGUUGUUGGGUAGGGGAGCGUUCUGUAAGCCUGUGAAGGUGUACUGUGAGGUAUGCUGGAGGUAUCAGAAGUGCGAAUGCUGACAUAAGUAACGAUAAAGCGGGUGAAAAGCCCGCUCGCCGGAAGACCAAGGGUUCCUGUCCAACGUUAAUCGGGGCAGGGUGAGUCGACCCCUAAGGCGAGGCCGAAAGGCGUAGUCGAUGGGAAACAGGUUAAUAUUCCUGUACUUGGUGUUACUGCGAAGGGGGGACGGAGAAGGCUAUGUUGGCCGGGCGACGGUUGUCCCGGUUUAAGCGUGUAGGCUGGUUUUCCAGGCAAAUCCGGAAAAUCAAGGCUGAGGCGUGAUGACGAGGCACUACGGUGCUGAAGCAACAAAUGCCCUGCUUCCAGGAAAAGCCUCUAAGCAUCAGGUAACAUCAAAUCGUACCCCAAACCGACACAGGUGGUCAGGUAGAGAAUACCAAGGCGCUUGAGAGAACUCGGGUGAAGGAACUAGGCAAAAUGGUGCCGUAACUUCGGGAGAAGGCACGCUGAUAUGUAGGUGAAGUCCCUCGCGGAUGGAGCUGAAAUCAGUCGAAGA
RNAcentral lists this ribosomal RNA (584 nucleotides) under Escherichia coli. RNAcentral's name for it is "partial 23S ribosomal RNA". It matches the Rfam family "Bacterial large subunit ribosomal RNA", at positions 1215 to 1783 of the family's 2925-position model. The record is from RNAcentral. Lineage: Bacteria; Pseudomonadati; Pseudomonadota; Gammaproteobacteria; Enterobacterales; Enterobacteriaceae.